This is a long non-coding RNA of Leopardus geoffroyi (Geoffroy's cat), 9441 nucleotides long. RefSeq lists it as uncharacterized. The record is from RefSeq and is a predicted model, not a curated record. The transcript has 8 exons. Lineage: Eukaryota; Metazoa; Chordata; Mammalia; Carnivora; Felidae.
UCAUGUGGAAGAUGGAUACAUUUCGGAAGAGCAAAUCUUGGCUUUACUGAGAUGUAUACUCCGGUGAUCUAAGUGAGUAAAUACCCAAGCUUUCCCACUUCUCUUCAUAGAUUUUGAGCAAUUGUCUUAGCUUCUUUCUUAACCCUAUACAAGGAAACUUUCAAAUAGUAACCACUAACAUCCCGAUAAAGUAAAGAGAUAAUAAUAAUAAAAAAAAGAAAACAUUUCCAUCUGGAAUCUCUUCAGAUUUCAGGGUGAAUAAAUUGGCAGAUACCUGGUAGAGCCCUGGGGCCAAAAACUGAGCUUAUUUUGUUUCUGUUUUCAUUUCUCCCUUUUUUGCCUUGUCAGUUGAAUAACGUCUCUGCUGAUUUCCUGGAGACUCAAGUCUUCCCGACAGCCAUUUGUCACUCCCUCAGCUUCCAUGGCCGCUGGCUAUGGGUACUAAAAAAACACCAAGGUGAAGAAGAAAAAAUCAGGAAAUAAUGUUUAUCUGAAUUCGCUUCCAGAAUUUCGACUCAAUUUGGAAACUGAAGCCAAGUGGCAAAGUAAAGAUUUUCUUUCCAUGGAUCGUCUAAUUGCCCCAAAAAGGCAGCCCUUGGGAGUGUUGCAGAUUUUAAGCAUUCAAGAACAGAUACUGGUGACUACUGUCUUUGAUUUUCCCAUGCCUACUCCUUUGUCCCUUCGUUCUGAGAAAAUGACACCUACGUCACUUCAUUGACUUGCUGGGAGGACCAAAUGCAAUGCUGUACACCAUUCGAAAGAAAGGCCAUAGCAAUGACCAAAAUGGCUUGCAACAAAAGGAGACUGUCAGCGGAGAGUCACAUGUCCAUUAAUUCUCCCAGAAAGGAUUCUGAUUUAAGCUUCUGGUAACUCAGGGGUUCCUUGGCUUGUGGCUGCACCCUACAUCCCCUGCCUCUGUGGUCACGACAACUUCUCGCCUGUAUCAAAUCCCUUGCUGCCGUUCUUUACAAAGACACUUAUGAUUGCAUUUAGGACCUGCCCGGAUAAUCCAAGAACAUCUUCCCAUCUUAAGAUUUUUAACUUAAUCACAUCUGCAAAGAUGCUUUUCCAGGAGGUGGAGCAAUAAAAUACAAUCAGUUCAUAUUGAGACAACUUCAACUUGACACAAAGAAAUAUUCUAUGUGCUUUCCUCUGGUGGAUUUCCAGUUUCAGAAGUCCUAGACUGCUGGCCCUUACAACUUUACCUGGAUGGGAGUCAUAAAUCUCAAGUCAUUGAUCCUCAAACCGUAUUUCUUGAAUCUACAUAGCUCUUUCUCGCCUCUGAUCAGAACCCUUGCACUUGUUUGUGGCUGCUCUUACCUCUACCUGGAAGGCUCUUCUUUUGGCAGUCAACUAGAUGCAAUUACAAACUGCAAUUGUUAUAAAGCAAUGGAAAUGAGUAUAGAAAUAGAGCGGUAACAUGUAUGCAGAAACUGGAAGGAUGACAAGGAACGAGGCAUCUGAGAAGGGAUGGAGCAGGACAUCUCAGAGAAAAGGGAGCCUUGCCUUCCCUGGAAGUGAAAGGAAACCACUGUGGCUGGUGCAUGAAGGGUAAAAGUGAGAGCCAGAGCCAGGUCAUGCUGGCUUGUGGGUAAGUGCAUGUUCCUGAAAAGGGUAAGGAUGUUAUUGGAGGAGAAGUGAGAAGCUAAGGACGUUGUUUGAAAGGAAAGGAAAGGGGUAUGCAUCAUUCGUUUCCACUUUAAAAUCUUACUUUGUUUAAGUGGAGAAUAGAUUGGGGUUGGGGAAGAGAGAAAAUGGGAGAAAUCCAGAUGACUGGUUAGUGGUGACCAGAAGUAGGUUGAUGGUUACAGAAAUAGAGGUGGGAAUAUUUGAGAGAUAUUUUGGACAUAGAGACCCGGCACUUGAUGAUGGAUUGGAUGUUAGCAGUGACUUAGGGGGAAAACUUAAAGAUGACUUCUAGGUUUCUACAAAGUUGAAUAACAGUAGUCAAAGGAGAUCACUUUGCAGGCCAGGCUGCUGGCUACAGACAUGCUUAGAUGACUGAUCAGGAAUAACAUUGAUUUAAAGAAGGGCUUUGAUCAUAAAAACUGAAGUACAGACAGAGCACAGUGGCAGGCGGGACUCAGAGAAGAGAGAGGCACAGACAGGCAUAAGUCUAGACAGGUCAUGUUCACAGGCUAUUCUUAGUCUGGAGACCUGGUCCCACCACCAUGUUUCAAUACAACACUAGGCACCCAGCAAGGGUGGGAAGCAGCAUCAAGGGAGCGAUAGACGUUGCAGAAUCAAGCAUGGAUGAGAACAAUUACUGGUUGCAUGAUCUUGUGUGAAUUACUUGAAUUACUUAACCUUUUAGAGCCUCUAAUUCCUUAUUUAUAAAAUAGGAUGAAAAUAUUUACCUUGUAUAUUUGUUAUGGAGAUUAAUUUGAGCAAUGUUUACAAAAUACCUUGCAUAUAGUAGAUGCUUAAAAACGUAGUUCUCUUGGCCUCCCACUGUGUAAAUUAAUUCAUAUCAUUGAGAGAGCUCUCACUCAUUCAGCUACGUGACUAAUCAAAUCCUGACACUAAAGGGCUUGGUUCUCGUCCAGCUUCCUUCAAGCUGUGGAGUGCGGAGUGGGGAGAUAGGAAAAAGAAAGGAGGGAACUAAAUAUUAUGGUAUAUUCUAAAUCAUAUAGUGGAGUCUAAAUCCCAUUUCAUUAUAUACCACGUUACAUGGUGUUAAAUUCUUUAAUUUUUAUAUCUUUGUAGCAACUUUGUGAGAACAGUAUUCUUUGGUUUCUUUUGUAAAUAAGGACUCUUGGGCAGAAUUUGGGAGAUCUGAGCAAGGUUACAGAGCUCCUGCCACAAGAGCCAGGAUUGGAACGUGCUGAGUCUGAAGCUUGCACAUUUCUCACUCUACAUUGUGCAGCCUCUGCAAAGAUCAGCCUUAACACAAGUGAAGUUCCCAAAGGAGGAGACUUGUCAUCUACACAAUAGCUUUUUUUUUUUUUUUUUUUUCCUUUUUCUGGGGUGGAUAAGAGGGCUCUAUUUGUGGGGAAUAGUUUGGGAGGAUUUACAUCCUCUUUGAAUUUGGAAGGGCUGAAUCAUUCAUUCAUGGAAUUUAGUCAUCCUUCUUUAUUUCAGACAGGAGAGACUUCUGGGCCCCUGAAAAGUUGUUUGACACCCUAAGAUCAUUCAGCUGGUGACAUUUUGGCAUUUUAGCCAUUUCAGUUCAAUAGUCCUUCAGUGUUUCUCUGAUGCCUCAGGCAUUUCCUCCUUUGGCUUUUUUUUUUUUUUUUUUUAAAUUGAAUCCAUGAUUCAAUCCUACUAGCAGCAAUAGUGAUUUUUUUCUCAGUAAUAUGACCAGUAAGAGACACACACACAUGCAUGCAUAUCUCCCCUUGGAUAGCUAAUUGUCAUCUUGAUUUUGAUAUGAUCAAAAUAGAACUCUUAAUUUCCCUGCCUCAAAUCUGCCCACCUUCCCCUACGGUCUUCCCUUCUUAAUAAAUGGCAACUCUAGGACAUGAACCUCAGCUAUCUUCAACUUCUGCCUCUCUAUGGAAAUUGACACCCAGAGGUCUGUCAGUCCUGUCUUUGAACUGUUGCAAAGUGGAGGCACUGAAAUCUCUCAGAAACAUCUUUUGCCUGGGCUACUCUGAUAACCUCCUGAAUACUUCUCUCUCUCCUUCCUCCGGAUUUCUUUGUUCCCAUUCUUUUCAGAGGAGCCAGACCCGUCCAUUCACAAGGGAAGAGGCAAAGUCUGGAUGGUGGUUGCCCACACCCUGCUUGAUCCAAACUCUGAUGACAUCAUCGCUGACUUUUCUCUCACACCCUCUUUGCUCUAGCACACCAACCACUUGAAUACCUCCAACAUGCUAACAAACUGUCACCUCAGGGCUUUUCUACUUGCUAAUCUCUCUGCGUAGAAUUCUCUUCUCCGAGAUAGACAAAUAGCUUCUUUCUACACCUUGACAUUUCUGCUAAAAUAAUCACCUUGUCACAAAGUCUUUCUUGAGCACUCACUAUAAAAUGGCAACCCUAUCCCCGUACUUCAGCUCUCUUUCCUCCAUAGCACUGAUCACAGCUUAAUACUGUAUAAGUUUGCUUAUUGUUUUCCUCACAACACCCUCCAUCUUGCUUUGCAUGUAUGGUCCAUGAGGACAGAGUUUUCUCUCAGAUUUGCUUACCGUUGGAAUCAUGUUUGGCUUGAGCCAGGAAUUCAGUUCAUAUUGGUUGAAUGAAUAAAUUGAUGUUAAUAUUUAUGAUAGAAAUUGUCAUUCUUGUAGAUUGAGUCAAAGUUCUUAAGUAUAUUCAUUUUAACUAUUUUUUUUUCUUUGAUUGCUCUUCCACCCCUGACCCCUGGCUUUAUUACAAUUAACUGUGGCUUUGGUAAGAAAUACUCUCAAUUUUGGGGAAUAGCAAUUUCAACAGUAAAACAUUAGUAUUGAAUGGAUAAUAUGAACAAGUCAUUUCUGGAAAAAUAGUGUGAAAUAAAAUACAUCUCCUUAGAGCACAUUUCCUUGGUGUAGAAUAUUUCCUUAUUCCCAUGCAACACUAGAUUCUGCUGCAUGUAUUUGCUUUAGAAUUUCACGUUUAUUAUAUUUGGGAAGCCAGAACUGAAUAAAAAUGAAAACCUUUUCUAAUGCUAUCAACAGAUAUGUUAUCAAGAAUUUUUAAUCUAUUUUUAGUAAGUUUAAUGUGUAGUAGAACCGUUCUCUUCUUUUCUUCCUGAUUUAAUUCCCAUUGACCAUCAUUUGUGCUGCAAAGAUGAAGCUCUAUACUUUAGCUUGUCUUUCAGACAAACUAAGACUGUUGUAUUGAAUUCCAAAGCAUGUGCACUUGGAAUUGAAAGUCCACUGUCAGUGGAGAGAACCUGUGGUAGCCGUCUCUCACCUCCUCUUCUGUGAUGUGAUACAGCUAAUCCCAGCCAAACUACUUGAAAUGCUUGUUACUGCUGCAAUCUCAAUGAAUUUAGAGUGGUAAUCAAUUAACAGUAAAUAGGUUUCUUUGUCAAUUUGGAAGCAUCCCAAUGAAGGUAAAGAGAAAGUGGAAUAAGGUGAUAAAUAAUUUAUAGCUGGAGAGAAUCCUUAAUUCCUUCAGCCCACUCAUAGGUUCUAAAUUAUUUUUUAGGGGUAACAUGAGACCAAUAACCAGAAACCUGGGACACAAAUUAACUCUGUUUAAGAAAGAGAUUUUUAAACUGAGGGAUGUGCCGGUUUUGCUGCUUACACCUGGAUUUUAUACAAAUGAUGCAAUUGCAAAAGGGCCACUUGUCUGUGACCCUCCUGAGGUCUCUUUUUGCCAUUUCUCUUGUUAUCUUGAUUUUCCUCUUGAUCUCUCCUCCAGGAUUAUUUUCAGACUUGCUUGCAUCUCAUUUUGUACCAGUAAAGUGCAUGUGUUAGUGCACACACGCACGAUUGCUGUUUUUAUCCUCCUCUGGUAACUCUUUUUCUAUGUCUCUCAGGGUCUCAUCUUGGCUAGGCUUUCCUUUUAUUUGUAUCUUGACAGCUUGGAGGUGGUUAUUAGGACAUUUAGAGCUCUGAGGCUUGGAUGCCCAGCAUGGAUGUAAUUCCCCAUUCGUUACCUGUCUUCCUUCCCCUGCUCUGCCUAGGUAUGGGUAAUAAAGGCCUGUCUUCCCAGGCUCAAUUCCUAGGCCGAAGGGGAAUGGGUAGUAAUGUUUCAGCAGCUCCUUCCUCCCUAGUGACAUCUGGGGAUAGUGAAUUCACAAUGCACUUUUCCCACCCUCAUGAUGCACUAAUAAAGUCAGGCUGCUGACAAGGAGGGCUGGCUUCCUGGUGUUCUCCUUAAUCUUCUGCCCCAGUGCCUGAGUCUAGAGGCUAGCCCUGUUGACUAUGGCUCUGGGUCACCCUUUUAGAUCCUGGCAGCCCCUUAACAGGGUUUGCAUCCCACUUUUGGUUAUUUUUAUUUUACAUUGUCCUAUGUGGACUUCCCUUAUCUGGAGCUCUUAUAUACAUCAUAUUGAGAACUGCCCCCGCCUUGAACUUCCUCACUCCACCUUUAGAGUUUGACCUCUAUACCAAGUUGAAAAAUGAGAACUCCCUGGUCCAACUGAACUUGAUGAUUUUGUAUUCUAGAAGAGGGACAGCUCUUUCGUUUUUUCUAGAUCUACUCAUUCUAUGCUAGUUUUAGUGAUCUGAGAGCUUUGGGGAUUUGGGAGUGGGAUUAGGUCUCCAUGCUAGUGCAUGUCCAAUAAAAAAAUCACCACCACCCAUAGAAACAGAAGUAGAUUUAUGUGAAGCUAAAGAAUCUUAAGUUUCCAGGUCUUUGUUUGCAUGGGCCCCUUCCGAUGCCCUGGCAGGGGCUUCAGCAAUGUGUUCACAGAGACAUAUGAUUUUGUAAAUUUGCAAAAGUAAGAUAUUUUAACUGCAACCAAUGAUACCCAUUGUGUCAUUUCACUCCAUCUUCCAAUCUGUCGUAUUUCUACUCAUGUCGCAGUGGGCCAGGACGUAUUUUUGAUCUGGCUAAGUAGAAUGUGAGUGAGAUACAUUUAGUUGCAGUUUACUGGCACAGAUUUAUGUGCAUAGCAAUUACUUCUAUGAGUAAGCCAUGGCUAGUAGGCAGCCUUGAAGGUGCAAAGCUCAGAUAUCCCUUCAAGAGAACCUGUUGCCAUACUUCCUCCAGCCUCCGCACCUUCAGCAUCACACCAAAACCGUGCUUUCCCAGGGCUGCCCUAGCCAAUGAGUCUGCACGGUCUGAGUUCUAGAGCCCGCCCAUUUCUGCCCAUUGCAGAAUAAGCUGUCUUUGCCCUGGAGCCUCGACUUUCUCAGAGCUGACCUGCAGCCAGUUCUCCUCCAUUCUGUCUUUCUUUCUGCAGGUGUCAGGUCCUCCUCACAUUCGAAGGGUUCUAUCUUCUGUCCUUUCUCUUUUUUAUCUUCUAUGGGCAUUCUCCCUCAAGAAAUCUCUUGUACAUCGAAUUUCAACCUGGUGUCCACCUCAGAGGACACGAACUGACACCGUUAAAGAUUUCACAGGUGAGUUGGUGUCAGCUCUUUCUUUAAACUGAAGUUUGGCUAAUGGGUCUGAUGCUAAUGAUCUUCACCCACAUCAUAUUGCCUUUUUAUAUGCCUAGUGCUCCAUCAACCAAUCUUUGACUCCUUAACCCGAAUUUCAGAUUGCGGCCAUCUAGUUUUAGUCACUUGCCAGCACCUUGCAAUAUUUUCCACCUCCCCUCCUGACUUCAGAGCAUUUUUGCCAAUGUUCUCAUCCACUACCACCCUACCUACAUACCACACGCUACCCAUACAGCUUCUCUCAUUCCUAGGGCAAACCUUUGCUUAUUAUCUUUUCCCUGUCUGAAAUACCUUUUGCCCCAACUAGACGUAGGCAUAUUUCUUAUUAAUUAUUUUGCUGAUAUGACAUUGACAACAGAAACAUAAAACUUGUAAUAUACCAUACCAAUGAGGGCAUCUGUGAUAAACUAGUAAAUAAGCAUCAUUAAUUCAAAAAGGCAUGUAAGAUUAAUCAUUGUUCCAGAAAACUUGGAAUGUCCUGAAAUAUUAUAGGCUAUUUACGAAGGAAACUUGAUAUUUUCUCAAAUUUGACAAUUAUAAAAUUAACUAUUACCACAUGAGUCGUGAAGCUUUUAGAAACUUUUCCAAAAUGCUAUUAUUAUUAUUAUUAUUAUUAUUAUUAUUAUUAUUUAUUUAUUUUUACUGAACCAUACUAGAGAAAAGACUUACUUAUUAUCUAUUUUCUAUUGAAUUGUGUUGUCCCCAAAUUUCGUAUGUUGAAGCCCUAACCAUCAAUAUGACUGUAUUUGGAUAUAGGGCCUAUGGGAAGGCAAAUAAAAUAAAAAUGAGGUCAUAAGAAUGGGUUGGUAGGAUUUGCAUCCUCAUGAGAGGAGAUAUCACAGAGCUUGCUCUCUCUUUCUCUUGUUUCCUAUCCUGCCUCUCAGCCAUGUAAGGACACAGUGAGAAGGCAGCUAGCUGAAAGCCAGACAAAGGGCUCUCACCAGAAACUAAGCCCUGUCAGAACCUUGAUUUUGGGCUUUAUAGCCUCCAGAACUGUGAGAAAAUUUCUGUUGUUUAAGCCACUCCAUCUAAAGCAUUUUGUUAAGGCAGCCCAAGUUGACUAAGGCACUAUCUUUCCCUUCUUUCUACAGAUCAGUGAUUUUCAACUGGGUGUGAUAUUUUUCCUCACAGGGAAUAUUUGACAGUGUCUGGAGACAUUUUUGAUGGUCACAACUGGGGGGAUACUACUGGCAUCUAGUGGGUAGAGGCCAGAGAUGCUGCAAAAAUACCUAUAAUUCAUAGGGCAGGCUGUCUCCUCUUCCCCCCUCCCCCCAGCUGCUCCCACCAAAGAAUUACCUGGCGCAAAAUGGCAAUAGUGCAAACAUUGCAAAGCCUGAUAAACCAUGCUAUGGAAAAUCAUAUAAAAUCAUGUCUUAUGAAGAGGUGAUUAAAAAGGAUAUAGCCAAUUAUAUGGAAAAAGGUAUUAUAGGAAGAUGUUAAGUGGGUAAUAAAUAUAUUUUCUAGGUUUUGUUUGUGAUAUUUUCAUAUUUUUAAAACUUAUUAUUUAUACAUUCUUAUUUUCCUGAGUAAAAAUUUAGUUCUAAACCUGAUUUGGUACUCUUUUUUAUAAGACAUUCCUCAAAAUUUUGUAAUCUUCAGCUCCCCAAAUCCUGAAUUCACCCAGUUUAGAAUUAUGAUUAAACACUUAUAUACAACACUAGUAAAUUUUUAUUUCAUUAUGACUCUGGACCUCAACAUUAUAAUUUUAUUUUUUUGAGUAUAGUCUGACCAUCUAAAAAUGCUUAGUAAAGUUUAAGGUAAAAGAACAUUUUUAUAAGUGGAAUAAAUGCUGUCAUUAUUGUAUAUGUAGGCAAGAGAUUUGGCCUUUUGCACUAAAUCCUCUUUGCCCUUUGCAGAAGAUUUUCCUAAGCUGUUAAAUAAUAGAGCAUUCAUGCAGUGUAUCUUGGGGUCUCUUCUUUAGUGGUGUAUGUUCACAUGGGAGUCGUCUGUAACUCACCCACAUCUUUCACCCCAGUCCUGAAAAUUAAUUAACACAUCAUGCCAGUUUUGAAAUUUCUCACAUAUUUCUCGUGAUCUCAUUAUUUUAUUUAGGGCUUCCUUCAUGCUUCCAUUGGACAGCUGAACAGUUUCCUUUGUGGAUCACCCAAUUCUACUUCAUAGUCUACACAGAACUUGUUCUUCAGAAGAAAUCUCCAGCAGAAGCCCAAUGAAUGACAUUGAUCCAACUGCAUCAGAGACUGUCAACCUCUCUGGGACCCAUUUCUGUGCCCCUCAGGCAGAGUUGAGUGCAUUCCUCUAUCGUCCAACAGAACAUAAUGAAUUUUACUGCUGACCUUAUCUUAAUGGAUUAUUGUUACACUAUUUUAUGUAUCUUUUUUUUUUUUUUUCCAUUAAAUCGUGAGCUUCUCAAGGGUAGGGGCAAUGUCUUACUAAUUUCAGAACAUAUCCCAAUAACUUGGCACAUAAUAAUUGCUCAGUAAGUGGUUGAUGAAUAAAUACGUUUAACCUCCAA